CCAGGAACUAGUCUCAGGGUCCAUUAGUGCCUGAAAGCUGAUUAUUUCUCUUUCCCAUUGCGUAGGCACUCUGGUAGAUGGCCCUGGGCCCUGUUGGGGAAGCCUGGGAGGAAGAUUUACAGCACAAAUUUUUGGUGAUGUAAUAGGAUCCUUCCUCAUAAUAGGGGAUCCAUCCUCAUGUAACAGGGGACCUGGCUGCUUCUUCAUUCCAGUGUUCCUGGGCCUAGGAACUGGCUCAAGAGAAUCUGGCUCUGAGGAUUAGUUGAGGGGCUGGAACUCUCCAUCCUGGGACCACCGUGAUCAACCAGCCAACAUCAAAGAUCUCUGCAGGUCAAACCAUUCUGAUUACUGCUUCAGCCCUGUUGCCCGCAAGAUUCCUGGCUAUAUACAUUGGGAAAAAAAUCAUACAAUUCUUUUGGCAUGCGUGAUGUCUUCUUACAGAUGCUUGAUCACAGAUGUCUGCAGGAGAAGCUAGUACUUUGGCUGCAGGGCCACACGCACACCUGGUCCAGGAUUUGAGGAAGCUGAAGUGAGAGAUCUCAUGGGAGUUGGAGGAGCUGAGGACCCUGCUAUUGUCCACACCAGCAAGGGGCGUUAGCAGAUUUGUAAAACAUGUGUGAGCUAAAACAGCCUGAAUUUCAUCCUUCAGGGUGUAGUGUGACAACUUCUACCUUUCCAGUCUCCUGCAAAUUUCACC
Molecule: long non-coding RNA, 697 nt
Filed under: Equus caballus (horse)
Lineage: Eukaryota; Metazoa; Chordata; Mammalia; Perissodactyla; Equidae
Description: lncRNA (ENSECAG00000052755.1)
Source: RNAcentral